GGACUCCUUUCCAGGUACAGUUUAUUUAAUGUAUUUUACUUCUGGCAGAGCACGGGGAAUCGCAUGGGUUACCGAAGGAGGGGAAAGUCUCGUAAGGCCGGCAGGGGUUUCUGUGCGGGUGAGGGUGGGCACGAGCGUUGCUGGAGCGGCAGUUUGGGGUUUGCGAGCUGCGAUGGUAUGCGGGCAGGCACGAAACCCCGCACUGCAUUACGCGCGGCCGAGGCUUGAGCAGCAAAGGGCCGUGUUUUGCGAACAGCGAGGGAAUGACUGCGCGUCUGUCGUUCAAGGGCUCGCUGGAGGUCGGGGAGCAGAUUUCUCUGGUGGUACCGAGCGGCGUGCAGGACGGGGUGGGACGUGCCCCCGCUCUCGCCCGUGGGGGAUGGCCGGGGGCCGUGUGCUGCGGGGCCGGUGGCGUGGCCGCCUCGCCUGGACUCCCCAGCCCGCGCUCCUCCCCUCGGCGUGGAUGGGGACGGGGAGGAGCGGGGCUCCCGUGGUCACGCCGCGGCGGGGAGGACUAAAACAUGGCAGGCAGCUCUGCACCGGGAUGCUGUAGCCAUGCAAGGUGAAGGACGGACUGACAAUCGCCGGCAGAGCCACAGCAGUUACUUAUCUGCCUGAAGUUAUUUAUCCAGCGCUUUGGCGAGCUGAGGAGCCGGUCUGCAUGGAAAGAGCCGUUUGUUGGAUGCGAACAUCCCCCCGGCUGCUGCCGCAGAUUGAGCACGCUUCUGGAGGGAAAAAUACCACUUUGGUUUGGUGUCUAAUUAGAUAUUUACCAGGAAGGAAGGAGAGUUAAAAAUAGGGUGACAGUGACUUCAAAGGGUGUUUUUGACUUCUAAGAAUAACACCUUUGCUGGCACCGAUUUCAGGAAUAUCAGCUGUGCCUGGGUGUGAAAGAUGGAGCAGACGUUGCAGCUCGGUCGGCAGCCAAGGGAGCAAACCCAGACCUCCCGGCCCCCGGCCCGGCCCCGCGAGAGCAGCUAAGGAGGGGCCACUCGCAUCGCUGCCCACGGAGAGCUCAACUGCACCCGCGGGGACACAGCGGGGGGACUUCGGGGAAGACAAAGCCACUGGUGCCCCAGCGAGGGUGGGAGGGGACGUGUGGCACGAUGGGGACCCCCUCCCCGCGGGCGGUGCUGGUGCUCGCCGUGGCGCUGGCAGGGCUCUCGGCUCCCCAGGCAGCGUACAGGCAGCCCAACUUCAUCGUCAUCCUGGCAGAUGAUGUGGGUUGGGGGGACCUCGGGGCCAACUGGGCGGAGACGAAGGAGACCCCGCAUUUGGAUGAACUGGCGGCCGAAGGGACGAGAUUCGUGGAUUUCCACUCGGCUGCGUCCACUUGCUCCCCAUCCCGCGCCUCUCUGCUCACGGGGCGUCUCGGCGCACGCAACGGCGUGACCCACAACUUCGCCGUCACGUCGGUCGGCGGCCUCCCCAUGAACGAGACCACCCUGGCCGAGGUCCUGCGGGAGGCUGGGUACAGCACCGGGGCUAUAGGCAAGUGGCACCUGGGACACCACGGCCACCAUCACCCCAGCUUCCGCGGCUUCGACUAUUACUUCGGGAUCCCCUACAGCCACGACAUGGGCUGCACGGACACCCCCGGCUACAACCUGCCGCCCUGCCCGCCCUGCCCGCGGCACGGUGCAGCUGCCAGCAGGGUGGCAAGAAAAGACUGUUACACGGAGGUGGCCCUUCCUCUCUUCGAGAACGUCACCAUCGUCCAACAGCCCGUCAACCUCAGCAGCCUGGCAGCGCGCUACGCGGAGGAGGCAGCACGGUUCAUGCAGCGGGCGAGCCACAGCGGACGCCCCUUCUUCCUCUACCUGGCGCUGGCCCAUAUGCACGUUCCGCUGGGGGUCCCCCCAUCGCCCCCCGCCCCGGGCAGGGACAUCUACGGAGCUGCCCUGAGUGAGAUGGAUGCUCUGGUGGGACAGAUAAAGCGCGUCACCGACAGCCAUGGAAAGGGCAACACGCUCCUGUGGUUCGCAGGUGACAACGGCCCCUGGGCGCAGAAGUGCGAGCUGGCGGGACGCCUGGGACCGUUCGUGGGGGCCUGGCAGAGGCAGCGAGGUGGGAGCUCGGCGAAGCAAACGACCUGGGAAGGAGGGCACCGGGUGCCGGCGCUGGCGUACUGGCCCGGCCGCAUCCCUGCCAAGCGGACGAGCCGCGCUCUGCUCAGCACGCUGGACAUCUUCCCUACGCUGGUGGCCCUGGCUGGGGCGAUGCUCCCCCCGAACAGGCGCUUCGAUGGCUUGGACGUGUCCCCAGUUCUCUUUGGGUGGUCGGAUGUGGGGCACAAGGUUCUGCUCCACCCCAACAGCGGGGCAGCUGGGAAGGACGGCGAGAUAACGGCGCUGCGGCUGGCUCAGUACAAGGCGUUUUACACCACAGGAGGGGCGAUGGCUUGUGAUGGGAGCAUUGGGCCAGCUGAGCAUCACCAGCCACCCCUCAUCUUCAACCUGGAUCGUGAUAUCCAGGAGCAGGAGCCUUUGGAUGUGGCAUCCAGAGAGUAUCAGGCAGUGCUACCUGCAAUCAGCAGGGCUUACGCCCAAGCCCUGGAGGACAUCGCAACAGACAACGUCUCGGUUGCAGAUUACUCCAAAGACCCGGCCGUGACCCCUUGCUGCAACGCGCAGCACGUGGCCUGCCGAUGCCGAGCGCCCGGGACUCACGCAGCCGUGCUGGACUGUCGCACGGAAAGAAGAGCAACGCGGCUUUGUCUUUAAGCAAAUAAUUGCUCAGGCUGCUCCUUUCCUGAGCCUGGUUUCUGCGAACGGGGCUGUUGUCCAUGCUGGCGCCCAGGCUGGAGGUUGCCCGCGGAGGAGAGGGAUGGAGGCUGCGGUGCCCUUCGCUCCGUGCCACGAAGCAGGGAGGAGCGGCUGGUGGGAGCACAGGGCAGGGGAGGACGGGGCCCACAGCCUCUGAGCAAACGUCCCUGCUGGUGCUGAGACCCUGGAAGUCUGUGGCUGCAGAGAGAAAAUUCCCGGCCGGCACAAGGUGAAUGCUCUGGGAAAUGGAGCACCUGCCCCGCCAGCUGCCAAGUGAGGUUUAUUAACGGGGUUACGUUAAAUACCCAGCUGCAAAAGAAGAAGGGACCUGGGCUCUUCCUGGCUGCUGCCCUCCUCGUGCACAGGAUGCUCAGCUCAUCCUGCGGCUGCUUUGCAUUGCCACAGCAGAGGUCAGGCGCUGCCCUGACACACACCCCCAAGUCCCAGUGUUUGGAAAAGGCAUUUUUGGGAAGGUGUGGGGGAGAGGUGUGCAGUGCCAAGCUGGGGUAGCUGCUCCCCUUUGCGUGGGAAGACCAAUGGUGUAACUGGUUUUUUUUUUUUUUUUUAGGGAGGUCAGGGAGAGCUCCCUGCCCCGAGCCCUCCCAGCAGAUCAGGGAUCCGGGCAGAGAAGCUGCUCCUGCCUGUCCCAGUGCGAUGCCAGGGAGGCAGAUGGGGUGAAAGAGCUCUUGUAGGGCCAUUUCUGGGCAAAUGUAAAAGCCUGGGGAGCUGCAAAGGCAAAAUCAAAGGUGCUACUGAAACUUGAGAAACCACUGAGAUUUCUCAGCAGCUGAAUGUGGGUUUUCUGAAACAAUUUCGGACUCCGAUUUACGCACCCAGAUCUUUCUUUGGACAAGCCAUGAGUGGAUUUGUGUGAACUUGGCCUGGUGGGUCAGGUGGAAGCAGCUGUCCUCGCACCAGCCCCCCCCAAACCCACUCUCCCACUCAUAAAACUUAAUCAAGACUGACAUCUUUAGGGCCCCACAAAGAACAGCAGGAGCACGGGCAACGAGCUGCCAGGGACAGACCGUGACUUUAUUCUGUCGUUAAACAUAGCAAAUGGCAUCUUCUCUAAUAUCACUGCAAAAAUACUUUGCCUGGGUAAAAUAGUAUGUAUAUACUGUACAAAGACAUAAGUUUAAUAUAUCUUCCUAUAAGUACAUUUAUACACAUAAACCAGCAUAAAUUAGAAAAGGGACAAAUGGGUAUAUAAAAUUCUGGUUACAUACAAAUCUGAUUAAAUUAGCAUUUACAUUGUCGUUC
This is an RNA transcript of Grus americana (Whooping crane), 4025 nucleotides long. It is a transcript of the gene named arylsulfatase G, with no coding region annotated. The transcript has 13 exons. NCBI's taxonomy places the organism in Eukaryota, Metazoa, Chordata, Aves, Gruiformes, Gruidae. The record is from RefSeq and is a predicted model, not a curated record.